This 275-nucleotide ribosomal RNA is filed under the name uncultured bacterium. RNAcentral describes it as "partial 16S ribosomal RNA". It matches the Rfam family "Bacterial small subunit ribosomal RNA", at positions 79 to 353 of the family's 1533-position model. The record is from RNAcentral.
CUAAGUUUGAUGGCGACCGGCGCACGGGUGAGUAACACGUAUCCAACCUGCCGAUGACUCGGGGAUAGCCUUUCGAAAGAAAGAUUAAUACCCGAUGGCAUAGUUCUUCCGCAUGGUAGAACUAUUAAAGAAUUUCGGUCAUCGAUGGGGAUGCGUUCCAUUAGGUUGUUAGCGGGGUAACGGCCCACCAAGCCUUCGAUGGAUAGGGGUUCUGAGAGGAAGGUCCCCCACAUUGGAACUGAGACACGGUCCAAACUCCUACGGGAGGCAGCAUG